CAACCCACCUCAAAUCGCUUUCUGAUUGCUUAUCGACACUUGCAAUCGGCCUCCUGCGACACCCGGCACCCGCUUUGGCCCGAUCUCUCGCGCGACCACCCGAACGGCCUCCAAUCCACAAUCCGAAAAUUAAAACUCUUCGGUUAUGUGCCACAGCGCUUCAAAUCCACUUUCAUGAUUUUACGAUGUCGCCUCGGCCCUCCAGGCGGAAACGAAGCCUAACGUCCGUUUCUUUAAUAACUUCACAACGGCUCGACGAAUCGCCGAACCGACUUCGCCAACGCAUUCGUUUACCUAACAAUUAGAUUUAUGGAGGGUCAAAUUAGAUCAAACCCUUAUAUUUUACAAAACCCCAUUUUCUAAGCCUAAUAUGAAUUAACCUCCAAAUAAUCCAAAUUAAAUGGAUCAAUAUGCUAACAAAGCUCAUUAGAGGCUAUUAGAACACUUAAAGCUAAGUAUUAAGCCAAAUCCCAAAAGCUUACGACAAUGUGAACACCGCGACGAAAACACGCCAUUCCAACGGGCGCACGAAAGCGCGAUCCGUCGCCUCCAACGCGUUCGCAAGCAUCUUCUCCACCAACGCCGCGAAUUUGAGCGAGAGAUAUAUUUGGAGAGAUGGGAGAGAUCUUUAGAGAGAGAAAGGAACAGUUGGAGCCCUUCUAAAUGUCCGUUUGGGCUCAAAUUUGACAGGCAGGCUCAGUUUAAUGUACUGAGUAAGAAUAUAUCUUAAGUUUUCAGUUUCGACCCCGUUUGGUCACUGAAAAUUGUACUGAACUGUAAUCUUUAUUAGAUAACUAUCGGAUUUUAUUUUUCACCUUCCGGGUGUCAGAAUGACAUGAAACUUUAAAUAUAGCCUCAUAAAAAUAAUUCUGACUUACCCUCCAGUUUUCAUAAUUUUCUGACACUGUGCAUUUUCUGCUAAUUUAUCUGCCCCGUUUCUCACAGAAAAUUCUAAAUCUUCUGUUUUCACUCCAAUUUCAGCACAGGUCGUUUCUAACUCGUAUUUCACUUCUCCAAAUCCAAUAAAAAUAGUAUCUCAUACUAUUUUUAUUUAUUUUCAUUUUUGUAUUUAAAAUCCGGUAUACUACAUUCCACCACAAUCUCACCGGAACCAUUCAAAUGGCUUUCCAACCAAAUGUAUAUCGUAACUUCAUAAUUUUAGAAGUCCGGUACCUUACAUUCUCCCCUCCUUAAAAGAGUUUCGUCCUCGAAACUAUCUCACUUCAAUUUCAAUUCAUACCCCAACUCAACUUAUCAAAUAGUCGAG
RNAcentral lists this long non-coding RNA (1267 nucleotides) under Ananas comosus (pineapple). RNAcentral describes it as "long non-coding RNA (ACOM_LNC039690)". The record is from RNAcentral. Lineage: Eukaryota; Viridiplantae; Streptophyta; Magnoliopsida; Poales; Bromeliaceae.